GACGAACACUGGCGGCGUGCUUAACACAUGCAAGUCGAACGGAAAGGCCUGCUUUCCCUUGUGGAUUGCGGGUACUCGAGUGGCGAACGGGUGAGUAACACGUGAGUGAUCUGCCCCCAACUUGGGUAUAAGCCUGGGAAACUGGGUCUAAUUCCCGAUAGGACUGCAGGGUGGUGCCUGUGGUGGAAAACGAUUUUCUAGUGGUUGGGGAUGAGCUCGCGGCCUAUCAGCUUGUUGGUGGGGUAAUGGCCUACCAAGGCGGCGACGGGUAGCCGGCCUGGGAGGGUGGACGGCCACAUUGGGACUGAGAUACGGCCCAGACUCCUACGGGAGGAAGCAGUGGGGAAUAUUGCACAAUGGGCGGAAGCCUGAUGCAGCGACGCCGCGUGGGGGAUGACGGCCUUCGGGUUGUAAACUCCUUUCGACCGCGAGGAAGCCACCUGGUUGGAAGGGUGGUGACGGUAGUGGUAGAAGAAGCACCGGCUAACUACGUG
RNAcentral lists this ribosomal RNA (494 nucleotides) under uncultured bacterium. RNAcentral's name for it is "partial 16S ribosomal RNA". It matches the Rfam family "Bacterial small subunit ribosomal RNA", at positions 28 to 507 of the family's 1533-position model. The record is from RNAcentral.